This is a long non-coding RNA of Arachis duranensis, 1403 nucleotides long. RefSeq lists it as uncharacterized. The record is from RefSeq and is a predicted model, not a curated record. The transcript is spliced from 5 exons. NCBI's taxonomy places the organism in Eukaryota, Viridiplantae, Streptophyta, Magnoliopsida, Fabales, Fabaceae.
UGCUAUGUUGUGUGCUGGGAUCUCCUGGGAUUGAAGACAGUCGCAAGUUUGAGGCGCAUUUGACUUCAGCUGCUGCUUUUGUGGAGGGUGGAAUUCAAGAUGCUUGUGAUGAUGCUUGCAGCAUCUGUCUUGAAGCCUUUUGUGACAAUGAUCCUUCCACCAUAUGGACCCUGAUUUUUAUCACGUGUUCAAUUUUUUGGAUGACUAAAGUGAGAUAGAAUUAAAACUAUACAAUAAUAAAUUGAUGGAUUUGAACCCACUGCAGAUUUGCUAGCAGAGGUGUGUAGAAGAGAGAUAGAAGCAAACAUUAAACCUGAUCUAGAUAUCUAUGUUUAUAUGAUCAUAAGCUUUGUCCAAUUUGUCUUACUAAUGGGAAGGAUAUGGCCUUUGGUUGUGGGCAUCAGACUUGUUGUAACUGUGGAGAGAAUCUUGAAUUCUGCCCCAUUUGCAGGAGCACAAUCGAUACUAGAAUAAAGCUUUACUAGUUAACUUGGCUCAAACCCUUGUUUCUGUGGCACAUGCAUACAUUGCUAGAGCAAGGGGACCUUGAUGGAUAUGUAGUUAGCCUUGUACACAAAACUACAUUCACGAUUUUGAACUAAUGUUCCAACUUAAGCAUACUUGUUUAUAGAGAGAGUGGGUUGCCUCCUUGUAUAUAUGAAGUUUGAUUUGUGUGUUGUGAGAAAAAGACUUGGUUCAUCUAGAUUUAUUUUGACGUAUGUAUAAUAGUAUUUGUUUUAGCUUUCUUUUCUUGUGUCUGAUUUUGGUUGAUGUAGCUCGUAGAGAAUCAGAAACUAGAUUUGUAUUAUUUGAUUUAAUUUUAUUUGAUUAGUUGCAUUUCAUGAAUUUUUAGCAUGAUAUAUCCACCUCAGAUUACAUUCUCAACCUAAUAAAAAAAAAGAGUAUAUAUAUUUGCACUUUAAUAACCAUGAAAGACAACGGUCACAUGAAUAAGUAUACUCCUGUACUCGAUGAUUGUGAAUAAAGAAGUUAAUUUAAGGCAUAAGCCCCUGUAGAAAAACAAAAUAAAAAUAAAAAUAAUUAAUUCACAAUGCAUCUAUUCCUCCUCAAGCACACUUUUCUAUUGAAAAUGUAAUUUCUAGUCUUGAUUACAUUAUUGGUGCUAUGUUUUAUUGUGUCUUUAUGUUUAUCUUCAUAUGCAUUAAUCAAAACAAAACCGGACUAUACUUUUAAAUAAACAAAAUAAAACAAUAUCAAGACAUUAAUUUUUACUUUCUUAGAGGAAAACUUUAUUCUUUAAUCAAGACAUUUUUCUAGCAAUAUCAAGUUGAUCUAGCAAUGUAAGAUUCCAUUAGAUCCUUUUCUUGUCUAUUGAUUAGUUCUUUAGAUAAGAUAUUUGAAUGCCCUCAACUGUGAUCAUGUUAGUAAAAGUAAUCAAUAAA